GUGCUCACUUCAGCUGUAUGUAUACUAAAAUUGGAAUGAUACAGAGAAGAUCAGCAUGACCCCUGCACAAGAUAGGAUGUAAAUUCUUGAAGCAUUCCAUUAUAAA
This is a small nuclear RNA of Cebus imitator (Panamanian white-faced capuchin), 106 nucleotides long. The record is from Ensembl. NCBI's taxonomy places the organism in Eukaryota, Metazoa, Chordata, Mammalia, Primates, Cebidae.